Molecule: long non-coding RNA, 454 nt
Organism: Schistocerca piceifrons (Central American locust)
Lineage: Eukaryota; Metazoa; Arthropoda; Insecta; Orthoptera; Acrididae
Exons: 3
Source: RefSeq, a predicted model, not a curated record
UUGUGUGUUCGAAGUUUGGUUGCGCGUUGCGCGAUUACUUGCUAGUUGCAAGCAGUUAUUUUUAUCGGUGUACUGCUACAAAUUAUUCGAUUGUUGUAAAAGACGUCUCCAGGGCUAUUACGAGUCAUAACAUAUCAAAAUUGAUGAAAAUACGUCCUAAAAUAAUCUCCCUUCGUUGUCUCAUACCAUUAUUAUAUAUACUGUCUGAUGUUUUGGAGCAUUAGUAACAUCCAGUACUGGUGCGAGGAUACAAGUGAGUUGGCUUCCAUUCGGACGUCUACGAUGAGACGAUGGACAGGGUGAGGCCUCGGCGUUGAUACAGAGUGCACUGGUGGUGGCAGAAUACAGCACGACCCCAGUGCCAAGGUCAUCAAAGUGUACAGCUACUCACAGGGGUUUGGGAAGGCAGACCACAGCAAGACUGUAGAAAUUCUGAAGACUGCAUAUCCUGUUU